UUUGUUUUUGAACAGGGAGACUCAUCCUCCCCUUGCCUUCCUCUCUUUCCCUCGCAAGUCCAAGGGGGCAGCUAUGGCGGCCCGACCCCCACUAGUUGGCAGCCACAAGCGGCCGCAGCCACAGCCAAACAGGCAGCCGACAACAGGCCAAGUCCGGUGGAAAUCAUAGAAAUAAAGGUGUUUUAUUUCGGAAGGAACUCUGGCGGUUGUCGGCUCAAAACCAUAGAAUCCAAAACCCAAGUUACAAAGGAAGGAGGAGGAGAGGAUGGAGAGCUCAUACUUAGGUCCGGCGGGGCUCUCUGGUGACCUUUU
RNAcentral lists this long non-coding RNA (312 nucleotides) under Phoenix dactylifera (date palm). RNAcentral's name for it is "long non-coding RNA (PDAC_LNC001863)". The record is from RNAcentral. Lineage: Eukaryota; Viridiplantae; Streptophyta; Magnoliopsida; Arecales; Arecaceae.